This 73-nucleotide transfer RNA is filed under the name Felis catus (domestic cat). It matches the Rfam family "tRNA". From Rfam's summary of the family: Transfer RNA (tRNA) molecules are approximately 80 nucleotides in length. Their secondary structure includes four short double-helical elements and three loops (D, anti-codon, and T loops). RNAcentral also lists the same sequence under 2 other names. The record is from Rfam by way of RNAcentral. Lineage: Eukaryota; Metazoa; Chordata; Mammalia; Carnivora; Felidae.
ACCUGGCUGGCUCAGUUGCUAUAGCAUGUGACUCUUGAUCUCGGGAUCGUGAGUUCGAGUCCCACAUUGGGUG